RNAcentral lists this ribosomal RNA (538 nucleotides) under Salmonella enterica subsp. enterica serovar Infantis. RNAcentral describes it as "partial 23S ribosomal RNA". It matches the Rfam family "Bacterial large subunit ribosomal RNA", at positions 711 to 1223 of the family's 2925-position model. The record is from RNAcentral. RNAcentral also lists the same sequence under 2 other names. Lineage: Bacteria; Pseudomonadati; Pseudomonadota; Gammaproteobacteria; Enterobacterales; Enterobacteriaceae.
AGACCCGAAACCCGGUGAUCUAGCCAUGGGCAGGUUGAAGGUUGGGUAACACUAACUGGAGGACCGAACCGACUAAUGUUGAAAAAUUAGCGGAUGACCUGUGGCUGGGGGUGAAAGGCCAAUCAAACCGGGAGAUAGCUGGUUCUCCCCGAAAGCUAUUUAGGUAGCGCCUCGUGAAUUCAUCUCCGGGGGUAGAGCACUGUUUCGGCUAGGGGGCCAUCCCGGCUUACCAACCCGAUGCAAACUGCGAAUACCGGAGAAUGUUAUCACGGGAGACACACGGCGGGUGCUAACGUCCGUCGUGAAGAGGGAAACAACCCAGACCGCCAGCUAAGGUCCCAAAGUCAUGGUUAAGUGGGAAACGAUGUGGGAAGGCCCAGACAGCCAGGAUGUUGGCUUAGAAGCAGCCAUCAUUUAAAGAAAGCGUAAUAGCUCACUGGUCGAGUCGGCCUGCGCGGAAGAUGUAACGGGGCUAAACCAUGCACCGAAGCUGCGGCAGCGAACGUAUCACUUAAAGCGAUUCAGCGGGUUACGAUUG